This 494-nucleotide ribosomal RNA is filed under the name uncultured bacterium. RNAcentral's name for it is "partial 16S ribosomal RNA". It matches the Rfam family "Bacterial small subunit ribosomal RNA", at positions 28 to 507 of the family's 1533-position model. The record is from RNAcentral.
GACGAACGCUGGCGGCGUGCUUAACACAUGCAAGUCGAACGGUGAAGCGCCUUCCUUUUUGGUGGGUGUGGAUGAGUGGCGAACGGGUGAGUAACACGUUAGUAACCUGCCCCCUCCUUCUGGAUAACCGCAUGAAAGUGUGGCUAAUACGGGAUAUUCUGGGUCUGUCGCAUGAUGGGUCUGGGAAGGAUAUUGUUUCGGUGGGGGAUGGGCUCGCGGCCUAUCAGCUUGUUGGUGGGGUGAUGGCCUACCAAGGCGGUGACGGGUAGCCGGCCUGAGAGGGUGGACGGCCACACUGGGGAGACGAGGCCGAGAAGACUCCGAGGGGCGGCAGCAGGGAAGAUUAUGGAACGGGGGGCGGAAGGCUGAAGCAGCGACGCCGGGGGGAGGAUGGUGUCCGGAGCGUAGUGAACUGCUAUCGGGGGAGAAGCAGUGUGGAAGCGUUUGUGGGUGGGUUGACGGUAGCUGGACAAGAAGCGCCGGCUAACUACGUG